Long non-coding RNA from Poecilia latipinna (sailfin molly), 1596 nucleotides. RefSeq lists it as uncharacterized. The transcript has 6 exons. The record is from RefSeq and is a predicted model, not a curated record. Lineage: Eukaryota; Metazoa; Chordata; Actinopteri; Cyprinodontiformes; Poeciliidae.
UACUAUUUGGUUGAUCUUCAGGUGAGUGCGGAUGUGGAGUGCGCCACAAGGGGGCAGUGUACUGUGUUCCGCCAGGCGGGGGGAAUCUUUUUGUUGCAGCUUCCGUUCGCACUGUGAAGCGAAGCUGCAUCAAACCGUAACAAGCCGCUUCACAUCUCAUCAUUUUUCCUGUUAACAGAGGACCAUUCUUCUGCUGCUGGUCUCCCUCUCCUAGACCGGACCUGUAACAUACAUACCUAAAUGGCAGGAAGAACCAUCUUUUGAAAUAAGAAAAGAAGAGGUUAAAGAAAGACGGGUCAGUUGUCGUUUCACGUCGACUACAAAGGAUGAAAGAAGAAAAAAAAUCUUCAUCAUGAUAGAACGGAACAGAGGUUCUAUACUUCUUGGGAAAUCCAUAAGCAGGGAAUGGCCAAGGAUUCCCUGGACAAAAGAAGGAGGGCUGGCCUGAGGCAGGACUCAAUCAAUCACAAACCCACAUUAUGGAGGAAAAAAACAUCUAGCAACCCGAGAGGAACAAGACGUCAUUGCUAUCGCAGCAAGAAACUGCUGAACUGGCCUGAAGUCAAGGUGUGGUGAUGGACGCAGACCUCGCAUCAAGAAACACAAAAGAAAAUUACUAAGUCAGCCUUCUAUCACCUGAAGAACAUUUCCAGGAUUAAAGAACUAAUGUCCCAACAAGAUCUGGAGAAACUCAUCAAUGCAUUUAUCUUUAGUUGAAUUGAUUACAGCAACACAGGUCUGCCUAAGAGGUCAAUCAGACAGCUGAUCCAAAAUGCUGCUGCUUUCAUCUUCACUAAAACUAGGAAAAUAUAAAACAUCACCCCAGAUCUAAAGUCCAUACACUGUCUCUCUGUAGCUCAGAGAAUACACUUUGAUAUACUUCUAUUAGUUUGGAAAUCACUUAAUGGCUUAGCACCAAAAUACAUUAACGACCUGCUGUUGUUUCAACCUUAAAGACCUCUCAGGUUUUGUGGUUAUAGUUGGCUCUGCAGCCUCAGAAUCAGAACCAAAUAUGGAGUUUUUAUCCUUUAAUGUAGAACAAACUUCCAGAAAACUGCAAAACUGUUGAAACACAGAGUUGCUUUAAAUCAAGGCUAAGAACCCAUUUAGAUUGAGUUGAAUUUAAUUAAGAAUAGAUGGAGCAUUGACUAAGUUUUGUUUGAAUUGCAGCAUUUGAUUAAUUCUCAUUAUUUUGAUACUGCAAUGUCAUAAUCUAUGUUUGUUUAUUGUGUCUUGUUUUUAUCACAUAUGGCACUUUGAACGCAGCUCGUUCUUGAAAUGUGCUGUACAAAUAAACUUGACUUGAUUUGGAGAAGUGAGUCACUCCCAACAUGAAGAAAACAAUUCACUUUUUUCCAACCGACUGGAAUUUAAAAUGUUGUUAAGCUCUGUUACUGGAUUAAAAAAGCAGCUUAGUGCAGCACAGCACUACAGGGUUUGGUCAUUAUCCAGUACCAAAACCUCCUAUAUAAUAUGAAGUAGCUGAGGCCGACUCCGCACUCCUUUCCUCUCAGCUUGCGGUUUCACCCACUCUGAUUGAUUCUUUAUUGACCUAACGUGUCCUGUAGGCCCAUCACUCCGCAUCCUCCCCUCCCU